Molecule: long non-coding RNA, 613 nt
Organism: Ziziphus jujuba (common jujube)
Lineage: Eukaryota; Viridiplantae; Streptophyta; Magnoliopsida; Rosales; Rhamnaceae
Exons: 3
Source: RefSeq, a predicted model, not a curated record
AUUUUAGUUUUUUAAAGCUGUAAAGCUAUAAAAUUCUCUCUUUAUUUGGGUGUAUAAGGCUUUUGCAUUUGCUUUUUUUGAAUUUGGAGGAUGUAAUUAGUCAGGGAUUAACCGACUUAUCCUAGAAGCAGGAAUGAUUCUCUCGGCCAAUCAUAUGAGAUUGCUCUUGUGGCUGGAGCAUUUGGAGAUUGCCUGGCUAUGAAAGAUGAUUCUGUAUUGGAGUUGAGGAGUGAACUUGGACAUAUAUUAGCCAACAAAAAAGCUAUAAUCUAAAGUUGAGGUGUUGAGAAAUCUUUUUCUAGGCUCAGCAGACAGAACUGUGAAAUUCUGGGAUUUGGAAACCUUCCAACUGAUUGGAUAUACAAGCCUCGGAGUCACCGCAUUCGACGUCUACUUGGUGAGUGAGUAGGUCUGCAGCCGAAGAGAGCUUGGGAGAGAGAAGAGAAACAGAGAGAGAAUAGGUCUACAGUUGGUGUUCUUUCUUAUAUUUUUUAUCAUUAAAGAAUGUUGCACUCAACAUGUUCUAUGGUGCAAUACAUUGUUAAAAAAUAAUUGUAAAUUUGGAUGAUUUGUGAAAGAAAAAUUUAAACGCAAUUUUGAUGAUAAUUAAAAA